Long non-coding RNA from Talpa occidentalis (Iberian mole), 239 nucleotides. RefSeq lists it as uncharacterized. The transcript has 3 exons. The record is from RefSeq and is a predicted model, not a curated record. NCBI's taxonomy places the organism in Eukaryota, Metazoa, Chordata, Mammalia, Eulipotyphla, Talpidae.
GGAUAUCUUCCAGCAGUGCCACGAGUGAGUCUUCUGUGAGGAUCAGGCCAUAUUCUUAUCAACUGGCAGGAAAGCAGCUUGGAAGGCUAACCACAUUCAUGGAGAACCCUCAGUUGAGGCUGCGAGAGGAAAAAGAAUAAAGUAUGAACUCUCGCAGGCACACCAUUAUAAGAAUCAAGAUUGGAUGAUUUAAACAGAUGGUUCCCAUCCGAUCAACAGAAGGUCUGAGUGGAACAACG